CCGGUAAACGGCGGCCGUAACUAUAACGGUCCUAAGGUAGCGAAAUUCCUUGUCGGGUAAGUUCCGACCUGCACGAAUGGCGUAAUGAUGGCCAGGCUGUCUCCACCCGAGACUCAGUGAAAUUGAACUCGCUGUGAAGAUGCAGUGUACCCGCGGCAAGACGGAAAGACCCCGUGAACCUUUACUAUAGCUUGACACUGAACAUUGAGCCUUGAUGUGUAGGAUAGGUGGGAGGCUUUGAAGUGUGGACGCCAGUCUGCAUGGAGCCGACCUUGAAAUACCACCCUUUAAUGUUUGAUGUUCUAACGUUGACCCGUAAUCCGGGUUGCGGACAGUGUCUGGUGGGUAGUUUGACUGGGGCGGUCUCCUCCUAAAGAGUAACGGAGGAGCACGAAGGUUGGCUAAUCCUGGUCGGACAUCAGGAGGUUAGUGCAAUGGCAUAAGCCAGCUUGACUGCGAGCGUGACGGCGCGAGCAGGUGCGAAAGCAGGUCAUAGUGAUCCGGUGGUUCUGAAUGGAAGGGCCAUCGCUCAACGGAUAAAAGGUACUCCGGGGAUAACAGGCUGAUACCGCCCAAGAGUUCAUAUCGACGGCGGUGUUUGGCACCUCGAUGUCGGCUCAUCACAUCCUGGGGCUGAAGUAGGUCCCAAGGGUAUGGCUGUUCGCCAUUUAAAGUGGUACGCGAGCUGGGUUUAGAACGUCGUGAGACAGUUCGGUCCCUAUCUGCCGUG
RNAcentral lists this ribosomal RNA (730 nucleotides) under Escherichia coli. RNAcentral's name for it is "partial 23S ribosomal RNA". It matches the Rfam family "Bacterial large subunit ribosomal RNA", at positions 1920 to 2649 of the family's 2925-position model. Lineage: Bacteria; Pseudomonadati; Pseudomonadota; Gammaproteobacteria; Enterobacterales; Enterobacteriaceae. The record is from RNAcentral.